UCUGAAUUUAUCCCGUUAAUUAAGAAACAGAACGUUUUUUUUGUUGUUUUUGUCUUAAUUUGAAAAGACAGGUUUUAUUUUUUUUCUUCUCACGUUACCUGCUGCAGCGUUUCUGUUAGCAGCAGCAAGACGCAAGACGACGAGUGACCAAACAAAAAACAACAACACAAACAGGACAUCGUGUAAUAUGUGGAUUAUAUGAAGCACUUCAUCACCACGAAAGAAACAGGGUUCCUCAAGUAAGUUUGACGCUGAUCCGCGGUUCUGUAUGUGUCUGAGGCUCCCAAUGAAAAUUUGAUCAAGCCUCUCUGAAACGUUCUGCCAAAUGACUGUGGAACAAAGCGCUGCAGUGAAUUUACCCAGUAUCCCAAAGAAGAGCCUUCAGCGGUGCAUACUGUCUGCUGUCACAUUAAAACACAAUCAUCUCUAAAA
This is a long non-coding RNA of Mugil cephalus (flathead mullet), 432 nucleotides long. RefSeq lists it as uncharacterized. The record is from RefSeq and is a predicted model, not a curated record. The transcript has 2 exons. NCBI's taxonomy places the organism in Eukaryota, Metazoa, Chordata, Actinopteri, Mugiliformes, Mugilidae.